AGAACCCCCAAGCGUUAUCCGGAUUUAUUGGGNGUAAAGGGUCCGUAGGUGGUUUAGUUAGUCCAAGGUUAAAUACUUCAGGCUCAACCUGAAGGGUGCUUUGGAAACGGCUAAACUAGAGGGNAUUAGGGGCUGAUGGAACGGUCCGGUGUAGGAGUGAAAUCCGUUGAUAUCGACCGGGAACACCGAAAGCGAAGGCAUUCAGCUGGGGUGACCCUGACACUGAGGGACGAAAGCGUGGGUAGCAAAAAGGAUUAGAUACCCUUGUAGUCCGACGCUGUAAACGAUGAAUACUGGCUAUCUGAAGUGUGCAGCAUUCGGGUGGCGAASAUACGCGUUAAGUAUUCCGCCUGGAAGUACGGC
Molecule: ribosomal RNA, 363 nt
Filed under: uncultured bacterium
Lineage: Bacteria
Description: bacterial SSU rRNA
Rfam family: Bacterial small subunit ribosomal RNA
Source: RNAcentral